The sequence is a ribosomal RNA, 2921 nucleotides long. It matches the Rfam family "Bacterial large subunit ribosomal RNA".
UUAAGUUAUUAAGGGCGCACGGUGGAUGCCUUGGCACUAGAAGCCGACGAAGGACGUUACUAACGACGAUAUGCUUUGGGGAGCUGUAAGUAAGCUUUGAUCCAGAGAUUUCCGAAUGGGGAAACCCAGCACGAGUUAUGUCGUGUUAUCGAUAUGUGAAUACAUAGCAUAUCUGAAGGCAGACGCGGAGAACUGAAACAUCUUAGUACCCGCAGGAAGAGAAAGAAAAAUCGAUUCCCUGAGUAGCGGCGAGCGAAACGGGAAGAGCCCAAACCAACGAGCUUGCUUGUUGGGGUUGUAGGACACUCUAUACGGAGUUACAAAAGAACAGACUAGACGAAUCAUCUGGAAAGAUGAAUCAAAGAAGGUAAUAAUCCUGUAGUCGAAAGUUUGUUCACUCUUGAGUGGAUCCUGAGUACGACGGAACACGAGAAAUUCCGUCGGAAUCUGGGAGGACCAUCUCCCAAGGCUAAAUACUCUCUAGUGACCGAUAGUGAACCAGUACCGUGAGGGAAAGGUGAAAAGUACCCCGGAAGGGGAGUGAAAUAGAACUUGAAACCGUGUGCUUACAAGUAGUCAGAGCCCGUUAAUGGGUGAUGGCGUGCCUUUUGUAGAAUGAACCGGCGAGUUACGAUUUGAUGCAAGGUUAAGCAGUGAAUGUGGAGCCGUAGCGAAAGCGAGUCUGAAUAGGGCGUUGAGUAUUUGGUCGUAGACCCGAAACCAGGUGAUCUACCCAUGACCAGGUUGAAGUUCAGGUAACACUGAAUGGAGGACCGAACCGACUUACGUUGAAAAGUGAGCGGAUGAGUUGUGGGUAGCGGAGAAAUUCCAAUCGAACCUGGAGAUAGCUGGUUCUCUCCGAAAUAGCUUUAGGGCUAGCCUCAAGUGAUGAUUAUUGGAGGUAGAGCACUGUUUGGACGAGGGGCCCUUAUCGGGUUACCGAAUUCAGACAAACUCCGAAUGCCAAUCAAUUUAACUUGGGAGUCAGAACGCGGGUGAUAAGGUCCGUGUUCGAAAGGGAAACAGCCCAGACCACCAGCUAAGGUCCCAAAAUAUAUGUUAAGUGGAAAAGGAUGUGGCGUUGCCCAGACAACUAGGAUGUUGGCUUAGAAGCAGCCAUCAUUUAAAGAGUGCGUAAUAGCUCACUAGUCGAGUGACACUGCGCCGAAAAUGUACCGGGGCUAAACAUAUUACCGAAGCUGUGGAUUGUCCGUAAGGACAAUGGUAGGAGAGCGUUCUAAGGGCGUUGAAGCAUGAUCGCAAGGACAUGUGGAGCGCUUAGAAGUGAGAAUGCCGGUGUGAGUAGCGAAAGACGGGUGAGAAUCCCGUCCACCGAUUGACUAAGGUUUCCAGAGGAAGGCUCGUCCGCUCUGGGUUAGUCGGGUCCUAAGCUGAGGCCGAUAGGCGUAGGCGAUGGAUAACAGGUUGAUAUUCCUGUACCACCAUUAUUCGUUUUAAGCGAUGGGGGGACGCAGUAGGAUAGGCGAAGCGUACGAUUGGAUUGUACGUCCAAGCAGUGAGAUUGAGUGUUAGGCAAAUCCGGCACUCUUAAGAUUGAGCUGUGAUGGGGAGAGGAAAUUGUUUCCUCGAGUCGUUGAUUUCACACUGCCAAGAAAAGCCUCUAGCUAGAAUUGUGGUGCCCGUACCGCAAACCGACACAGGUAGUCAAGAUGAGAAUUCUAAGGUGAGCGAGCGAACUCUCGUUAAGGAACUCGGCAAAAUGACCCCGUAACUUCGGGAAAAGGGGUGCUCUUUAGGGUUAACGCCCAGGAGAGCCGCAGUGAAUAGGCCCAAGCGACUGUUUAUCAAAAACACAGGUCUCUGCUAAACCGUAAGGUGAUGUAUAGGGGCUGACGCCUGCCCGGUGCUGGAAGGUUAAGAGGAGUGGUUAGCUUCUGCGAAGCUACGAAUCGAAGCCCCAGUAAACGGCGGCCGUAACUAUAACGGUCCUAAGGUAGCGAAAUUCCUUGUCGGGUAAGUUCCGACCCGCACGAAAGGCGUAACGAUUUGGGCACUGUCUCAACGAGAGACUCGGUGAAAUCAUAGUACCUGUGAAGAUGCAGGUUACCCGCGACAGGACGGAAAGACCCCGUGGAGCUUUACUGUAGUCUGAUAUUGAAAUUCGGCACAGCUUGUACAGGAUAGGUAGGAGCCUGAGAUACGUGAGCGCUAGCUUACGUGGAGGCGUUGGUGGGAUACUACCCUCGCUGUGUUGGAUUUCUAACCCGCACCAUUUAUCAUGGUGGGAGACAGUGUCAGAUGGGCAGUUUGACUGGGGCGGUCGCCUCCUAAAGAGUAACGGAGGCGCUCAAAGGUUUCCUCAGAAUGGUUGGAAAUCAUUCAUAGAGUGUAAAGGCAUAAGGAAGCUUGACUGCGAGACUUACAAGUCGAGCAGGGUCGAAAGACGGACUUAGUGAUCCGGUGGUUCCGCAUGGAAGGGCCAUCGCUCAACGGAUAAAAGCUACCCCGGGGAUAACAGGCUUAUCUCCCCCAAGAGUUCACAUCGACGGGGAGGUUUGGCACCUCGAUGUCGGCUCAUCGCAUCCUGGGGCUGUAGUCGGUCCCAAGGGUUGGGCUGUUCGCCCAUUAAAGCGGUACGCGAGCUGGGUUCAGAACGUCGUGAGACAGUUCGGUCCCUAUCCGUCGUGGGCGUAGGAAAUUUGAGAGGAGCUGUCCUUAGUACGAGAGGACCGGGAUGGACAUACCUCUGGUGUACCAGUUGUCGUGCCAACGGCAUCGCUGGGUAGCUAUGUAUGGACGGGAUAAGUGCUGAAAGCAUCUAAGCAUGAAGCCCCCCUCAAGAUGAGAUUUCCCAACUUCGGUUAUAAGAUCCCUCAAAGAUGAUGAGGUUAAUAGGUUCGAGGUGGAAGCAUAGCGAUAUGUGCAGCUGACGAAUACUAAUCGAUCGAAGACUUAAUCAA